This 429-nucleotide ribosomal RNA is filed under the name Bacillota bacterium. RNAcentral describes it as "Firmicutes bacterium partial 16S ribosomal RNA". It matches the Rfam family "Bacterial small subunit ribosomal RNA", at positions 355 to 776 of the family's 1533-position model. Lineage: Bacteria; Bacillati; Bacillota. The record is from RNAcentral.
UAGGGAAUCUUCGGCAAUGGACGGAAGUCUGACCGAGCAACGCCGCGUGAGUGAAGAAGGUUUUCGGAUUGUAAAGCUCUGUUGUUAGAGAAGAACGUUGGUAGGAGUGGAAAAUCUACCAAGUGACGGUAACUAACCAGAAAGGGACGGCUAACUACGUGCCAGCAGCCGCGGUAAUACGUAGGUCUUGAGCGUUGUCCGGAUUUAUUGGGCGUUAAGCGAGCGCAGGCGGUUCUUUAAGUCUGAAGUUAAAGGCAGUGGCUUAGCCAUUGUACGCGUUUGAGAAUGGAGGACUUGAGUGCAGAAGGGGAGAGUGGAAUUCCAGGUGUAGCGGUGAAAUGCGUAGGUAUAUGGAGGAACACCGGUGGCGAAAGCGACUCUCUGGUCUGUAACUGACGCUGAGGCUCGAAAGCGUAGGGAGCAAACAGG